Molecule: ribosomal RNA, 548 nt
Filed under: uncultured bacterium
Lineage: Bacteria
Description: bacterial SSU rRNA
Rfam family: Bacterial small subunit ribosomal RNA
Source: RNAcentral
CUCCUGGAAACGGGUGGUAAUGCCGGAUGCUCCGACAUGACGCAUGUCGUGUUGGGAAAGAUUCAUCGGUAUGGGAUGGGGUCGCGUCCUAUCAGCUUGAUGGCGGGGUAACGGCCCACCAUGGCUUCGACGGGUAGCCGGCCUGAGAGGGCGACCGGCCACAUUGGGACUGAGAUACGGCCCAGACUCCUACGGGAGGCAGCAGUGGGGAAUAUUGCACAAUGGGCGCAAGCCUGAUGCAGCGACGCCGCGUGCGGGAUAGAGGCCUUCGGGUUGUAAACCGCUUUUAUCGGGGAGCAAGCGAGAGUGAGUGUACCCGUUGAAUAAGCACCGGCUAACUACGUGCCAGCAGCCGCGGUAAUACGUAGGGUGCAAGCGUUAUCCGGAUUUAUUGGGCGUAAAGGGCUCGUAGGCGGUUCGUCGCGUCUGGUGUGAAAGUCCAUCGCUUAACGGUGGAUCUGCGCCGGGUACGGGCGGGCUGGAGUGCGGCAGGGGAGACUGGAAUUCCCGGUGUAACGGUGGAAUGUGUAGAUAUCGGGAAGAACACC